This 468-nucleotide ribosomal RNA is filed under the name uncultured bacterium. Its description in RNAcentral is "partial 16S ribosomal RNA". It matches the Rfam family "Bacterial small subunit ribosomal RNA", at positions 28 to 507 of the family's 1533-position model. The record is from RNAcentral.
GACGAACGCUGGCGGCGUGCUUAACACAUGCAAGUCGAACGGAAAGGCCCUGCUUUUGUGGGGUGCUCGAGUGGCGAACGGGUGAGUAACACGUGAGUAACCUGCCCUUGACUUUGGGAUAACUUCAGGAAACUGGGGCUAAUACCGGAUAGGAGCUCCUGCUGCAUGGUGGGGGUUGGAAAGUUUCGGCGGUUGGGGAUGGACUCGCGGCUUAUCAGCUUGUUGGUGGGGUAGUGGCUUACCAAGGCUUUGACGGGUAGGCGGCCUGAGAGGGUGACCGGCCACAUUGGGACUACGAUACGGCGCAGAAUCCUACGGGAGGCAGCAGUGGGGAGUAUUGCACAGUGGGGGGAAGCCUGAUGCAGCAACGCCGCGUGCGGGAUGACGGCCUUCGGGGUGUAAACCGCUUUCGCCUGUGCCGAAGCGGGAGUGACGGUAAUGGGUAAAGAAGCACCGGCUAACUACGUG